This 467-nucleotide ribosomal RNA is filed under the name uncultured bacterium. Its description in RNAcentral is "partial 16S ribosomal RNA". The stretch from base 50 to 467 matches the Rfam family "Bacterial small subunit ribosomal RNA", at positions 39 to 507 of the family's 1533-position model. The record is from RNAcentral.
GGGGGGGGGGGGGGGGGGGGGGGGGGGGGGCGGGGCGGGCGGGGGGGGGGCGGUGGGGGGGUACGCGGGGGGGGGGCGGGGGGGGAACACGUGAGGAACCUGCGCUUGACUUUGGGAGAACUGCAGGGAACUGGGGCUAAUACCGGAGAGGAGCGCCUGCGGCAUGGUGGGGGUGGGAAAGUUUCGGCGGUUGGGGAUGGACUCGCGGCUUAUCAGCUUGUUGGGGGGGUAGUGGCUUACCAAGGCUUUGACGGGUAGCCGGCCUGAGAGGGUGACCGGCCACAUUGGGACUGAGAUACGGCCCAGACUCCUACGGGAGGCAGCAGUGGGGAAUAUUGCACAAUGGGUGGAAGCCUGAUGCAGCAACGCCGUGUGCGGGAUGACGGCCUUCGGGUUGUAAACCGCUUUCGCUCAUGACGAAGCUUUGUGUGACGGUAGUGGGUAAAGAAGCACCGGCUAACUACGUG